This 468-nucleotide ribosomal RNA is filed under the name uncultured bacterium. RNAcentral's name for it is "partial 16S ribosomal RNA". It matches the Rfam family "Bacterial small subunit ribosomal RNA", at positions 28 to 507 of the family's 1533-position model. The record is from RNAcentral.
GACGAACGCUGGCGGCGUGCUUAACACAUGCAAGUCGAACGGAAAGGCCCUGCUUUUGUGGGGUGCUCGAGUGGCGAACGGGGGAGUAACACGUGAGUAACCUGCCCUUGACUUUGGGAUAACUUCAGGAAACUGGGGCUAAUACCGGAUAGGAGCUCCUGCUGCAUGGUGGGGGUUGGAAAGUUUCGGCGGUUGGGGAUGGCCUCGCGGCUUAUCAGCUUGUUGGUGGGGUAGUGGCUUACCAAGGCUUUGACGGGUAGCCGGCCUGAGAGGGUGACCGGCCACAUUGGGACUGAGAUACGGCCCAGACUCCUACGGGAGGCAGCAGUGGGGAAUAUUGCACAAUGGGCGGAAGCCUGAUGCAGCAACGCCGCGUGCGGGAUGACGGCCUUCGGGUUGUAAACCGCUUUCGCCUGUGACGAAGCGUGAGUGACGGUAAUGGGUAAAGAAGCACCGGCUAACUACGUG